AUGCGGAUCUCGAAAGCCUGUCCCAGUUCGGACUGGAGUCUGNAACCCGACUCCACGAAGUUGGAUUCGCUAGUAAUCGCGCAUCAGCCAUGGCGCGGUGAAUACGUUCCCGGGCCUUGUACACACCGCCCGUCAAGCCAUGGGAGCCGGGGGCGCCUGAAGUCCGGGACCGCGAGGACCGGCCUAGGGCGAAACUGGUAACUGGGGCUAAGUCGUAACAAGGUAAC
Molecule: ribosomal RNA, 227 nt
Filed under: uncultured bacterium
Lineage: Bacteria
Description: partial 16S ribosomal RNA
Rfam family: Bacterial small subunit ribosomal RNA
Source: RNAcentral